GUGAUUGCAGAUCAUGAGGUUGCAAGGACAACUGCUCAAGAAGCAAUUCUUCAUCUUUGAGGACUUGAGGUCCUACUGGUUCUCACCGAGGCCACAUUCCGAAGCAUUGUCUUGUGCCCAGGUCCAUUUUAUUAUGCCCAUGGCCGUAUAUGCUCCAUCUCUGGGGUCAUUGGGUUAUUUUCCUUGGUCUGCUUCU
This is a long non-coding RNA of Lolium rigidum, 196 nucleotides long. RefSeq lists it as uncharacterized. The transcript is spliced from 3 exons. Lineage: Eukaryota; Viridiplantae; Streptophyta; Magnoliopsida; Poales; Poaceae. The record is from RefSeq and is a predicted model, not a curated record.